Non-coding RNA from Paramuricea clavata, 121 nucleotides. The record is from the annotation of a GenBank genome assembly. NCBI's taxonomy places the organism in Eukaryota, Metazoa, Cnidaria, Anthozoa, Malacalcyonacea, Plexauridae.
AUACAAAAUAAGCAAGUACGAGUCUGAUAAAAAUGCUAGUCAGAAUCGCAUAUUUUCACCGUUGUAAUAUGCGAUUCUGACUAACAUUUUUAUCGGACUCGUACUUGCUUAUUAUUUCUCC